Molecule: long non-coding RNA, 1176 nt
Filed under: Homo sapiens (human)
Lineage: Eukaryota; Metazoa; Chordata; Mammalia; Primates; Hominidae
Description: non-protein coding lnc-MSS51-1:1
Source: RNAcentral
GAGGCGGGUGGAUCAUGAGGUCAGGAGAUCAAGACCAUCCUGGCUUAACAUGGUGAAACCCUGUCUCUACCAAAAAUACAAAAAAUUAGCCGGUCGUUGUGGUGGGUGCUUGUAGUCCUAGCUACUUGGGAGGCUGGGGCAGGAGAAUACAGUGAACCCAGGAGGCGGAGGUUACAGUGAGUCGAGAUCGCACCACUGCACUCCAGCCUGGGCGAUUUCCUUCCUUCCUUCCUUCUUCCUUUCUCUUUCUUUCUUUUUUAAAAAAUAGUAUUUAGUUUUCCAAACUAAGACCAAGAACUCUUGCUCUAUAUAAUUAUUUACUAUUUCCUCCAUUUAAGGUUAUAUAGUUUUUCUUUGAAAAAAUUUUGUCAUUAUCAAGUUAAAUUAAUACAUCUGUAUUUUAUGUUCUUAUUACUAUUACAACUGGUGUCUCUUAUUUUCUAUCUGUGUAAAAGAAUAUACUAUAUAUUUGUGGGUUUAUCUUAUAUCUAACAAACUUGAAUCAGCAGAAUUAUUUUCUAUGAUAAUUUUAAGUUUGUUUUCUAUUACUUUUAAAAAUAUGUCAUUUAUAGGGGAUUGAUAUUGUUAUUUAUUUUCUGUAUUUUUACCUUUCUUUUAUUCUUUAAAAGUUAUUAUGAGUAUUGCAAUAGUAUGUUAAAUAGGCAUGAUGGUAGAUAAUGCUUUAGUCCUCUUCUUAUAAUAAUAAGAAAAAAAGGUUCCUUGUUAAGUCUAAUUAUAGUACUUGGUUUUAGGUACCUAUGAUUUAUAUGAAUAAAGAUACUGAGUCAUAUUUUGAGAUGGAACCAGAAAUAAAUAUAAAAUUUUAUUAUAUUCUAAUGAGAAGAUUUUAUAUAUCAUCAGUAUUUUUCCUAUUAGUAUGAUAAUUUAUCCACUUGUUAUUAUCAUUCUUGCAUUCCAGGGAUGAAUUGAAUUUGAUCAUUAAAGAGGCAGUGUAGUUUAAUGAAAAGGAUCAGUGGUUUAGGUGUCUUGUCACUACCGUUCACUAGCUGUGUAAUCUUAGAAAAGGCACCUAAUUUCUCAGGUUUUCUUAUUCAGAAACUGAGGGAAUAGAGAGGAUGAAAAUUCUUUCCCACUCUUAAAUAAUUUUAAAAAUUGUUAAGCACCAUUUAUGACAAUGUUUCUAUGGGAAAAUACACUGAGUUCCAGCUUUGAAUA